UUGAAUCUUCAAUCUUGAUCCAAGCCUUGAAAACUGGAAAGCAAUAAAUUCUAAAGCUAGAAAACUGAAAUAUUAAGUCUGGGAACUGAAAAAGGAACCUUAAAUAGGUCAAAAGAGGACCUAUAUAUAGGCACAGGGGAUAAAUACAGUGUAGGACUCGAAAAUACUGAUAAAAUCCGAAAUUUCGCAAAAUCCCGAAAAUUCGGAAAUUCCCGUCGGACACUAUUCACUGAUGCGCGCGACUUUCUUGUUACGGCCAUAUCUUCCUCGUCCGAACUCAGAUUUGCGAACCGUUUGCGUCUACGAACUCGUAUCGAGACGAACUACAACUUUCAUUAAGAUAAACAGUCCAAAUUCGAACUCCAUAUUUCUGCAUAUUUCACAAGAUAAAGCAAUUUAAGCACAAAACAACUAUCUAACACUCAAUUUCCUGUAAAAUUAACAUCAUAUGAACACUAAAAACCAUGGAAACAUGAGUGUUAUCAUUCACCAAUAGAUUGGGCUACUGCCAACGACCACACUACGAUGUAGUGAGGGAGCUUCUUUACAUUAACCCCAAUCUUCUCAUCAAAUAAAUCUCCCUCCUAAGAAUUCGCAGCCUUGGGAUCAUCUGGGACGACGACGCCAACUUUGAUCGCCUACAAAUUUAAAUUUCUAGAAAAUUGAUGUUUUGAAUGCUCUUUUCUUGGCGUGCCUGAUAUAACUAUAUAGAUAAGAUUUGUAUAUCUUGCAAAAGUUGGUCCUAUAUUUUAGUUGUUGUUGUUGGCCGAUAGCACCGACAACGACUUUGCUCACCAUUGUUCUUGUUCGGAUUGUGGGAGGAUGAAGGCGGGGGCCUUCGUCGAAAUUAAACGUGGAGGCGGUCACUGGGAAUUGAGGGAGGAGGUGGUGGUAGAUUUGGGGAUCUAAGGUUUCAAAGAAAGAUGAGGAACAUGAGUUAGAGAACGAGCAACGAGGACGCUAUGGGCGGCGGCUCGACCGUUGCUGUUUGCCGAAAAUCUGAAAGGGGUGGUAGCGGUGAAUUUAAGAAGAAGGGUGAAGCAGUGUCUCUUUGUGUGUGUGUGUGUGUUUUGGGUCACGAGAGAGAAAGGUUUAGAUAGAGAGAAGAUAAGGCGCCAGUGGUGGUGGUCGAAGCGGCAACGACCUUCGCCGGAAUAUAAUGCGGCGGUUGGGGUAGAUUUUGAAAGAACAAGACGGGGGCUGGUGUCUUGAUUGGGGGAUAUACAC
This 1227-nucleotide long non-coding RNA is filed under the name Salvia miltiorrhiza (redroot sage). RNAcentral's name for it is "long non-coding RNA (SMIL_LNC007502)". The record is from RNAcentral. Lineage: Eukaryota; Viridiplantae; Streptophyta; Magnoliopsida; Lamiales; Lamiaceae.